Drosophila willistoni is the source of this 68-nucleotide long non-coding RNA. RefSeq lists it as uncharacterized. The transcript has 4 exons. The record is from RefSeq and is a predicted model, not a curated record. Lineage: Eukaryota; Metazoa; Arthropoda; Insecta; Diptera; Drosophilidae.
CAUACUUUUGCAUCGAAUUGAAAAUAAACCGUAUGUGGUUGAAUAUUUCAUAUUUCCCAUGUAGAUUU